Myodes glareolus (Bank vole) is the source of this 680-nucleotide non-coding RNA. Lineage: Eukaryota; Metazoa; Chordata; Mammalia; Rodentia; Cricetidae. The record is from RefSeq and is a predicted model, not a curated record.
GCAGCAUAUCCUCAGAAAAUAUUCUUUCUAGAAAUGAUAUUGCCCAGAUGACACCACAGAGUAAAACCACCCCCAAAAACAGCUCAUCUCCCCAGAACACAUCAUCUUUAAAGAGCUCCAUGGAAGUGCCUCUAAGUGUUACAACCACAGGCACUCAUCACAAGGAAAGGCGGUCUUUCCUGUGUGAAACAUCUGAACCAUGCUCCACCAGUGCCAAGCCCCAGAGUGUGAUCACAGCCUCUUCCCACAACAUAAGGCGAUGCUGGAAGAGGGUGAAGAGGAGAACGGUGAAUUGUUUUCAAAGCCUGUGUUGCUGCCUCUUUCCCCAAAGGAGAAGACAUGCUUCUCAGAAGAAAGUGGCUCCAGUGGAAUGGGAGAAUGGAGUCACAUAAAAUGAGAUGGACAAAGCAACAGCUUCCUUAUUAUCUGGAACCUGAGAAAGCUGACCUGGACAUAGACAACAGAAAUGGUUACCAGUGGCUGUGGAGGCACUGAAGAAGUGUUGACAAAAGGAAACAGAUGUUCAGAAGGGAAGAAUCAGUGAUGAAACAUCACGGACACUGAGGCAUGGAGUGGGAAAUCAGCCUGUGUGGAUUGAGACAUCUGUAGCAUGAACCAGGCAGAAAGUCCAGGUGACAGUGUGCCUGCAUACCCAGCAAAGAGGCUCUGUCUAGCACAAA